GGUGAUCUCACAAUUUGCUCUGCCAACUUGUUAGAAAUUCCCACUGGAAACAUUCAGAAGGAAAAUUAUCCCUCAGAGAUAUCACACUUUGAAGUUCCCAGCAGCUUCCCUGGGUACAUUAGCCUUGUAGAGAGCUCCCAGCAGCAAAAAAACCCCAGAGGAAUGUAAAUUCCAUGGAACAGGAUACCCAAACAUCCCUGCUGGAGUGGUAGUGUGCUUUGCUGGACACAGUAAUCCCAUCUCAAGCCAUAAAUACAUAAAGUAGCUGAUCCUGCUGUGGGCAAGGCUUUUGCCCACUGUUGGAACGGGAAUGCUGAGGAGUUCCAAUUUGUGACUGCACCAACAGAAUUCACCUCUUUGCUGAUUUAGCUGAGGGCAGAACUUGACCCUCUGUCCUCGUUAGCUCCACUCCAUGUCAGAGACACUUCAACCACCAGAUCUGUGUUCCAAACCUCCUUAUGGUAUGUUAUCAUAUAAUAAAUAUGUGAUUAAUGAUAACUGAGCACCACUUAAUGAAAGGUUUUCUUGCUUUUUCUUUUUAUAUUACCGCACGUAAUCUGAACCUCUGAUAAUUAAAUGUUACAUAAAACAUUCCAAUACUAGCAAUCCUGGGAGCAUCUUUUUUGAACACUUGGCAACCUUGCAAUGGUUUGUCAUUAACAAGCAUGCCCUAAUGUGACAUUCCACUUCAGCAGCCUCUCUGAGAAGGUCUAUUUUUUAUAUAUAUUUUUUUUUUCUUUUUUUCCCAUUGCAGCCAGGAGCUGAAGGCUGAGUUGUCCAGCAGAAGAAGCAGGUGUUGCAGCGCUGCUCCCUGUGGAGGUUAUUUCAAUACCCAGACGUCAUUAGCGCUGAGCUGCAGGACGUGGCAGUGCAGUAAAUGCGUCACGUUGCACUGGCUGCCGUGGUCCUCUGGUGCCUCCUGCCAUGGAUCAUCCUGGGAUCCUGGCAGCAAAGGUAACAUCUUGCCAGGGAGGAAAUGCUCUCUGUGCAAAUUCUUGCUUGCCGUGUUGGAGAGGCUCUACUCACUCUGGGGACCUGCAAGAUUCUUCAGCUUCUUGUCCCAGGAAAACCUACCCCAGUUUUACAAGGUCACUACAAUAAGGGAUAUUUUAUCUGUGGGUUGUGAUUCUAAUUUGAGUCCAGCUUCCAGACGAGUUCUGUAUCACUGACCAAGUCCUGGGCAGUGCAGGCUGAGGAGCAACCAACUCCAGUAUCCUUUGAUGGAGCAGGGACUGGCUCUGCUUUGUGCCAGACUGACCUUGAUGAAGGGCUGAUCCCACCCUGGCAGGACUCUGGCUCCAGCUCUGAUAUCACCUCUCCCUUCCUAGGCCCAUUCCAAUUUAGAGUUUAAGGCUGCCUCAGUUCUUCUCCAAAUAUAAAAAAAAUAAAUAAAGAAAAAAAUUGAUUAAAUCCA
RNAcentral lists this long non-coding RNA (1414 nucleotides) under Junco hyemalis (dark-eyed junco). RNAcentral's name for it is "lncRNA (ENSJHYG00000003462.1)". The record is from RNAcentral. Lineage: Eukaryota; Metazoa; Chordata; Aves; Passeriformes; Passerellidae.